Molecule: transfer RNA, 86 nt
Filed under: Streptococcus sanguinis
Lineage: Bacteria; Bacillati; Bacillota; Bacilli; Lactobacillales; Streptococcaceae
Description: tRNA-OTHER
Rfam family: tRNA
About the family: Transfer RNA (tRNA) molecules are approximately 80 nucleotides in length. Their secondary structure includes four short double-helical elements and three loops (D, anti-codon, and T loops).
Source: RNAcentral
GGAGGAUUACCCAAGUCCGGCUGAAGGGAACGGUCUUGAAACCGUCAGGCGUGUAAAGCGUGCGUGGGUUCGAAUCCCAUCCUCCU